This 497-nucleotide ribosomal RNA is filed under the name uncultured bacterium. RNAcentral's name for it is "partial 16S ribosomal RNA". It matches the Rfam family "Bacterial small subunit ribosomal RNA", at positions 28 to 507 of the family's 1533-position model. The record is from RNAcentral.
GAUGAACGCUGGCGGCGUGCCUAAUACAUGCAAGUCGAGCGAACGGACGAGACGCUUGCUUCUCUGUUGUUAGCGGCAGACGGGUGAGUAACACGUGGAACACCUACCUAUCAUUCUGGGAAAAUUUCGGGAAACCGGAGCUAAUACCGGAUAAUAUUCUGAACCGCAUGGGUCAAAAGUGAAAGACGGUCUUGCUGUCACUUAUAGAUGGAUCCGCGCUGGAUUAGCUAGUUGGUAAGGUCACGGCUUACCAAGGCAACGAUGCAUAGCCGACGGGUGAGAGGGAUAGCCCACACUGGAGGGUAGACACGGUCAAGAGGCCUGAGGGACGGAGCAGUAGGGAAUGUUCGGCAAUAGUCGAGAGCAUGACGGAGCAAGGCGGCGCGAGUUAUGGAAGUCUUCGGUGCGUGAAGCCCGGUUAUUAGUGAAAAACAGAUGUGUAAGGAACUGUGCACUUCUUGACGGUAACUGAUAAAAAAGCAACGGCUAACUACGUG